GUCCACGCCGUAAACGAUGGAGGCUAGCCGUUGGCGGGUUUACUCGUCAGUGGCGCAGCUAACGCAUUAAGCCUCCCGCCUGGGGAGUACGGUCGCAAGAUUAAAACUCAAAGGAAUUGACGGGGGCCCGCACAAGCGGUGGAGCAUGUGGUUCAAUUCGAAGCAACGCGAAGAACCUUACCAGCCUUUGACAUGCCUCGUAUGGUCGCCAGAGAUGGCUUCCUUCCCGCAAGGGGCGAGAGCACAGGUGCUGCAUGGCUGUCGU
Molecule: ribosomal RNA, 265 nt
Filed under: uncultured bacterium
Lineage: Bacteria
Description: partial 16S ribosomal RNA
Rfam family: Bacterial small subunit ribosomal RNA
Source: RNAcentral